GGUAUGAUUUUCUUAAAUCUUCUUCUCUUUCCCAGGUAGCCUCUUUCUCGGUAUAUCUAUUCCACUGUACUCUGCACAUUCUGAUGACCCGACUCCUAGUGACUCUUUCUGCUGUUUCCAAAAUUCGAACCGGAUACUCUUCAUAAGUAAGAUCCUCUUUAACAGUUAUUUCCUCUAUCGGUAUCUGCUCUUCUAGCACCCGCAAGCACUUCUUAAGCUGUGACACGUGGAAGACAUC
RNAcentral lists this long non-coding RNA (238 nucleotides) under Sorghum bicolor (sorghum). RNAcentral describes it as "long non-coding RNA (SBIC_LNC018824)". The record is from RNAcentral. Lineage: Eukaryota; Viridiplantae; Streptophyta; Magnoliopsida; Poales; Poaceae.